RNAcentral lists this ribosomal RNA (496 nucleotides) under uncultured bacterium. RNAcentral's name for it is "bacterial SSU rRNA". It matches the Rfam family "Bacterial small subunit ribosomal RNA", at positions 791 to 1287 of the family's 1533-position model. The record is from RNAcentral.
UAGUCCACGCCGUAAACGAUGAGUGCUAGGUAUCGGGACUUGAUUUCGGUGUCGAAGCUAACGCGUUAAGCACUCCGCCUGGGGAGUACGGUCGCAAGAUUAAAACUCAAAGGAAUUGACGGGACCCGCACAAGCGGUGGAGCAUGUGGUUUAAUUCGAGGCAACGCGAAGAACCUUACCAGUCCUUGACAUCCUGAUCGCGGACCUAUGAGAAUAGGUCUUUCGGUUCGGCCGGAUCAGUGACAGGUGCUGCAUGGCUGUCGUCAGCUCGUGUCGUGAGAUGUUGGGUUAAGUCCCGCAACGAGCGCAACCCUCACUCUGUGUUACCAGCGGUUCGGCCGGGGACUCUCAGAGAACUGCCCGUGACAAGCGGGAGGAAGGUGGGGAUGACGUCAAGUCAGCACGGGCCCUUAUGGACUGGGGCUACACACGUGCUACAAUGGAAACUACAGUGGGCAGCAACACGGCGACGUGAAGCUAAUCUCCAAAAGUUUUC